Molecule: ribosomal RNA, 496 nt
Filed under: uncultured bacterium
Lineage: Bacteria
Description: bacterial SSU rRNA
Rfam family: Bacterial small subunit ribosomal RNA
Source: RNAcentral
AUUGAACGCUGGCGGUAUGCUUAACACAUGCAAGUCGAACGGUAACAGGCCUUCGGGCGCUGACGAGUGGCGGACGGGUGAGUAACGCGUAGGAAUCUGCCUCAUAGUGGGGGACAACGUGGGGAAACUCACGCUAAUACCGCAUACGCCCUACGGGGGAAAGCGGGGGAUCUUCGGACCUCGCGCUAUGAGAUGAGCCUGCGUUAGAUUAGCUAGUUGGUAGGGUAAAGGCCUACCAAGGCGACGAUCUAUAGCUGGUCUGAGAGGACGAUCAGCCACACUGGGACUGAGACACGGCCCAGACUCCUACGGGAGGCAGCAGUGGGGAAUAUUGGACAAUGGGCGCAAGCCUGAUCCAGCAAUACCGCGUGUGUGAAGAAGGCCCUAGGUUGUAAAGCACUUUCAAUUGGGAGGAAAACCUGCCGGUCAAUACCCGGCAGCUUGACAUACCUUUAGAAGAAGCACCGGCUAACUCCGUGCCAGCAGCCGCGGUAAU